CCAAGCAGCCCAAGACUGGUUGCCCACUGAAGCUAAGCAGGGCUGAGCCUGGUCAGUACCUGGAUGGGAGACCUCCUGAGAAUAUACUAGGUUGCUGUUGGAA
Sinocyclocheilus rhinocerous is the source of this 103-nucleotide ribosomal RNA. The record is from Ensembl. NCBI's taxonomy places the organism in Eukaryota, Metazoa, Chordata, Actinopteri, Cypriniformes, Cyprinidae.